GCAUAACGCGAAGAACCUUACCCAGGCUUGACAUCCCGAGACCGCCAUGGAAACAUGGUUUCCCCUUCGGGUCGUCGAGACAGGUGUUGUCAUGGCGUGUCGUCAGCUCGUGUCGUGAGAUGUUGGGUUAAGUCCCGCCAACGAGCGCAACCCUUCGUCCCUACGUUACCAGCGGUUCGGCCGGGCACUCUAGGGAGACUGCCGGUGAUAAACCGGAGGAAGGUGGGACGACGUCAAGUCAUCACGGCCCUUAUGCCUGGGGCGACACACGUGCUACAAUGGCCGGUACAAAGAGCUGCAAAGCCGCGAGGCAGAGCUAAUCUCAAAAAGCCGGUCUCAGUUCGGAUUGGAGUCUGCAACCCGACUCCAUGAAGUCGGAAUCGCUAGUAAUCGCGUAUCAGCCACGACGCGGUGAAU
This 417-nucleotide ribosomal RNA is filed under the name uncultured bacterium. Its description in RNAcentral is "bacterial SSU rRNA". It matches the Rfam family "Bacterial small subunit ribosomal RNA", at positions 954 to 1367 of the family's 1533-position model. The record is from RNAcentral.